Molecule: ribosomal RNA, 31 nt
Filed under: Albizia kalkora
Lineage: Eukaryota; Viridiplantae; Streptophyta; Magnoliopsida; Fabales; Fabaceae
Description: partial 18S ribosomal RNA
Source: RNAcentral
UAGAAGUUGGUAACAAGGUUUCCGUAGGUGA